RNAcentral lists this ribosomal RNA (868 nucleotides) under Levilactobacillus brevis. Its description in RNAcentral is "bacterial SSU rRNA". It matches the Rfam family "Bacterial small subunit ribosomal RNA", at positions 65 to 902 of the family's 1533-position model. The record is from RNAcentral. Lineage: Bacteria; Bacillati; Bacillota; Bacilli; Lactobacillales; Lactobacillaceae.
AGCUUCCGUUGAUGACGUGCUUGCACUGAUUUCAACAAUGAAGCGAGUGGCGAACUGGUGAGUAACACGUGGGAAAUCUGCCCAGAAGCAGGGGAUAACACUUGGAAACAGGUGCUAAUACCGUAUAACAACAAAAUCCGCAUGGAUUUUGUUUGAAAGGUGGCUUCGGCUAUCACUUCUGGAUGAUCCCGCGGCGUAUUAGUUAGUUGGUGAGGUAAAGGCCCACCAAGACGAUGAUACGUAGCCGACCUGAGAGGGUAAUCGGCCACAUUGGGACUGAGACACGGCCCAAACUCCUACGGGAGGCAGCAGUAGGGAAUCUUCCACAAUGGACGAAAGUCUGAUGGAGCAAUGCCGCGUGAGUGAAGAAGGGUUUCGGCUCGUAAAACUCUGUUGUUAAAGAAGAACACCUUUGAGAGUAACUGUUCAAGGGUUGACGGUAUUUAACCAGAAAGCCACGGCUAACUACGUGCCAGCAGCCGCGGUAAUACGUAGGUGGCAAGCGUUGUCCGGAUUUAUUGGGCGUAAAGCGAGCGCAGGCGGUUUUUUAAGUCUGAUGUGAAAGCCUUCGGCUUAACCGGAGAAGUGCAUCGGAAACUGGGAGACUUGAGUGCAGAAGAGGACAGUGGAACUCCAUGUGUAGCGGUGGAAUGCGUAGAUAUAUGGAAGAACACCAGUGGCGAAGGCGGCUGUCUAGUCUGUAACUGACGCUGAGGCUCGAAAGCAUGGGUAGCGAACAGGAUUAGAUACCCUGGUAGUCCAUGCCGUAAACGAUGAGUGCUAAGUGUUGGAGGGUUUCCGCCCUUCAGUGCUGCAGCUAACGCAUUAAGCACUCCGCCUGGGGAGUACGACCGCAAGGUUGAAACUC